CGGAGGGGCCGAGGACAGCAGCCCGGGCCCAGGACCGCCGUCAAUGGCGCUGGCGCUCCCACCCUGUUCCCGGUGGCCGGCCAGCCGAGGCCCAGCUGACACGCUAUUUUUUCCCCUGCUUUACUAAAUAUGGUCAGGGAGCACAGCCCGAGGGGGCCACUUGGCCGGGGCCGCGUGUUUGGGAUGCUUGGCCGGGUAUAUAAGGACUGCAAAGGUGAGGCCGCUCCUGACCCGAGGGGGGCCCCCACGCCCGCUCCGGCCCCUCGGGUCAGCCCUCCCCUCCCUCGCCCUCCCCUCCCCCCCUGCGUGUGUCUCGGCGAUGGGCUGUGUGCAUGUGCGAGCCUGCACACCCGCGGGACCGGCCCCUUUUGUUCCACCCUGACCUCUACCUUGCGCUGACCCGGCUGGGGGUGCGGAGCGUCUGCAGACACAGCCCCGAGCAGGGAGGGGCUCAAGGUGCGCGGCUCGAGGUGGCUCCUCCGUAACUCUGCAUCGCCCGCCAGUCCUGCGCCUCUGGUCCCUCCCUCCCUCCCUCUCUCUCCCUCUCUCCUCAAGAUCUCCCUUCCUGCUAAGUCUGCGCUGCUGCGGGAGGGCUGGGGGAAGGGCAGGGUGCGGAGGGGGGUGCGCGGUGUCUUCUUUCUCUUUGCCUGCCCCCCACCCCCAAGUGCGGUCGCCUCCGAGCUCCGGCCUCCCCCACCCCUGCAUUCGCGAUUGGCUCCGGGAGAAGGUGGAUGGUGCUGGCGCGGCUGCAGCAUCUCCCCGGGAGCCACGCGGGCGCAUCGUACCGGGAGCCGCGACCCUGCGCCCGCUGCCGCCGCUGUCGCCAGCCCGGCCGGAGGGGCUCCGCGGUGAGUCCUGCCCAGCCGCCGGACGGCCCCACAAACUUGCCGGCCGCCGCGGUGGGGGAAGGAGGGGAAGGGGCUCCUGCGGCCACGUGGGGGGCUCCUUGAGGGAAACACCCCGCCCUGGCUCCAGGGGCUGCGCCGAGAGGCAGAGGCCAGGGUGCCACAUGGCUCCGCGCCCCGGGUCAGGCCCAGGGCAGCAGUGGGGUCAGAGGCACCUACAGCCCCAGGCCCCAGGCCUCCACUCCAGCCUCUGAAACGCCCGAGCCCUGGAGCCUGGGGG
RNAcentral lists this long non-coding RNA (1125 nucleotides) under Canis lupus familiaris (dog). Its description in RNAcentral is "lncRNA (ENSCAFG00845017322.1)". Lineage: Eukaryota; Metazoa; Chordata; Mammalia; Carnivora; Canidae. The record is from RNAcentral.